UGCAUCAGCCGCCAUGGAAAUGCACAAAAUAUAUACAAAAAAUACUCAAAAUUUACAAAAAAAAAUCUAAACCCAGAAUUGUAUGAUUACAAUAAACGAAAAGGGUAAUCAAAAGUUCCAAUUUUUAUUUAUUUUGAUUUGAGAUUUAGAUGAUCGGCAAAAUGUAUUAGUGAAAACCGACUGAAAGUUUGUUUUAUAUAUAGAAAAAGAGGUCAGAAAUGGAAUGGUGAUGAAAGAGAGAGAAGCUUUUAAGGGUUUUUGUUAACAAAAUUCGAUCAGAGAGAGACUGUUGGAAGGUGAUUUUAUGGAAA
Molecule: unclassified non-coding RNA, 311 nt
Filed under: Hevea brasiliensis (rubber tree)
Lineage: Eukaryota; Viridiplantae; Streptophyta; Magnoliopsida; Malpighiales; Euphorbiaceae
Source: RNAcentral